This 628-nucleotide ribosomal RNA is filed under the name uncultured bacterium. RNAcentral's name for it is "bacterial SSU rRNA". The stretch from base 1 to 543 matches the Rfam family "Bacterial small subunit ribosomal RNA", at positions 338 to 873 of the family's 1533-position model. The record is from RNAcentral.
CCUACGGGAGGCAGCAGUGGGGAAUUUUGGACAAUGGGCGCAAGCCUGAUCCAGCAAUGCCGCGUGCAGGAUGAAGGCCUUCGGGUUGUAAACUGCUUUUGUACGGAACGAAACGGUGAGCUCUAAUACAGUUUGCUAAUGACGGUACCGUAAGAAUAAGCACCGGCUAACUACGUGCCAGCAGCCGCGGUAAUACGUAGGGUGCGAGCGUUAAUCGGAAUUACUGGGCGUAAAGCGUGCGCAGGCGGUGAUGUAAGACAGAUGUGAAAUCCCCGGGCUCAACCUGGGACCUGCAUUUGUGACUGCAUCGCUAGAGUACGGUAGAGGGGGAUGGAAUUCCGCGUGUAGCAGUGAAAUGCGUAGAUAUGCGGAGGAACACCGGUGGCGAAGGCAAUCCCCUGGACCUGUACUGACGCUCAUGCACGAAAGCGUGGGGAGCAAACAGGAUUAGAUACCCUGGUAGUCCACGCCCUAAACGAUGUCAACUGGUUGUUGGGUCUUCACUGACUCAGUAACGAAGCUAACGCGUGAAGUUGAACCGCCUGGGGUUGGUUACGGUCCGCGAGUUAGAACGUUAAGUUAGAGUUAGAGGCGNGAGACGNGCGACGGCGACGACGAGGGAGGUAGG